This 529-nucleotide ribosomal RNA is filed under the name uncultured bacterium. RNAcentral describes it as "partial 16S ribosomal RNA". It matches the Rfam family "Bacterial small subunit ribosomal RNA", at positions 355 to 900 of the family's 1533-position model. The record is from RNAcentral.
UGGGGAAUAUUGCACAAUGGGCGAAAGCCUGAUGCAGCAACGCCGCGUGAGUGAUGAAGGUCUUCGGAUUGUAAAGCUCUGUCUUUUGGGACGAUAAUGACGGUACCAAAGGAGGAAGCCACGGCUAACUACGUGCCAGCAGCCGCGGUAAUACGUAGGUGGCGAGCGUUGUCCGGAUUUACUGGGCGUAAAGGGUGCGUAGGCGGAUGUUUAAGUGAGAUGUGAAUUACCCGGGCUUAACUUGGGUGCUGCAUUUCAAACUGGAUAUCUAGAGUGCAGGAGAGGAGAAUGGAAUUCCUAGUGUAGCGGUGAAAUGCGUAGAGAUUAGGAAGAACACCAGUGGCGAAGGCGAUUCUCUGGACUGUAACUGACGCUGAGGCACGAAAGCGUGGGUAGCAAACAGGAUUAGAUACCCUGGUAGUCCACGCCGUAAACGAUGAGUACUAGGUGUAGGAGGUAUCGACCCCUUCUGUGCCGCAGUAAACACAUUAAGUACUCCGCCUGGGAAGUACGAUCGCAAGAUUAAAAC